UACGUAGGGUGCAAGCGUUAUCCGGAAUCACUGGGCGUAAAGCGUGCGUAGGUGGCGUGUUAAGUGUGAUGUUAAAUCGUGGGGCUCAACCCUGUCGUUGCAUCACAUACUGGCAUGCUAGAGGACGGCAGAGGCAAGUGGAAUUGGUAGUGUAGCAGUGAAAUGCGUAGAUAUUACCAGGAACACCAAUGGCGAAGGCAGCUUGCUGGGCCACUCCUGACACUGAGGUACGAAAGCGUGGGGAGCGAACAGG
Molecule: ribosomal RNA, 253 nt
Filed under: uncultured bacterium
Lineage: Bacteria
Description: partial 16S ribosomal RNA
Rfam family: Bacterial small subunit ribosomal RNA
Source: RNAcentral